RNAcentral lists this long non-coding RNA (490 nucleotides) under Brassica rapa (field mustard). RNAcentral's name for it is "long non-coding RNA (BRAP_LNC007858)". Lineage: Eukaryota; Viridiplantae; Streptophyta; Magnoliopsida; Brassicales; Brassicaceae. The record is from RNAcentral.
CCGAGCGUGAGCGUGGUAUCACCAUUGAUAUUGCUCUCUGGAAGUUCGAGACCACCAAGUACUACUGCACGGUCAUUGAUGCCCCUGGUCAUCGUGAUUUCAUCAAGAACAUGAUUACUGGUACCUCCCAGGCUGAUUGUGCUGUCCUCAUCAUUGACUCCACCACUGGUGGUUUUGAAGCUGGUAUCUCCAAGGAUGGUCAGACCCGUGAGCAUGCUCUUCUUGCUUUCACCCUUGGUGUCAAGCAAAUGAUUUGCUGCUGUAACAAGGUGAGCUAACUUCUUGUUUUCUUGUUUACUUCUUAUAUUAUUUUGGUUUGUUUGCUAACAGAUGUGUUUAAUUUAUCUGGAUCUCAGAUGGAUGCCACUACCCCCAAGUACUCCAAGGCUAGGUACGAUGAGAUCAUCAAGGAGGUGUCUUCCUACUUGAAGAAGGUUGGGUACAACCCUGACAAAAUCCCAUUCGUCCCCAUCUCUGGAUUCGAGGGUGA